RNAcentral lists this long non-coding RNA (1600 nucleotides) under Mus musculus (house mouse). Its description in RNAcentral is "predicted gene 10802". The record is from RNAcentral. Lineage: Eukaryota; Metazoa; Chordata; Mammalia; Rodentia; Muridae.
ACUUAGUGUGGUCUGCUGAUCUUUCUGCUCGCCUCCCAGGCUGGCUCAGUGACUUGCUCUGCUGUCUCUUGUCCAGACAGGCUCUUCCUCAAGCCCUUCGUGAGGCUACUUUCUCUUUAUUUAGGUGGAAAGAUCUCUCUCCCAGGGGCCUUCCCAGAUGCUCUGAGGUUAGCAACUGCCCAGUUGGAUUUUCACCAUCACACGCAGCAGGUCACACUAUCUCAGCUCAACCUUGGUGGCUUAGUUACUGUUUUAUGCUCUACCCCAUGGUGGGAAAGGGCUCACUAUUGAGGCAGGCACAUUUGAGAACAUUCCUAGUACUUCCCAGUGCUUAGCAAUGGCAGCCAUUCAUUAAAUAUUGGUUGAAUAAAUGACAGAGAAUGAGAGUGGUUUAAGCAGCAGCAAGAACAACAUCAGAAAGCUAAAAACUAAAAUAAACACCUUUGCUAAAAAGCCAGAGUCACCAUCAAACACAUGGGUUUUAAACGUGUAUGUGUAAUUUUUAUUAUUUUAUUUGCAUAUAUAUUUAUUUUUUAUUUUUAUUUUAUGUGUAUUAGUGUUUUGCCUGCAUGUAUGUCUGUGUGAGGGUUGCAGAUCCCCUGGAACUGGAGUUACAGAUAGCUGUGAACUGUCAUAUGGCUGCUGGGAAUUGAACUGAAUUCUUUGGAAGAUCAGUCAGUGCUCUUAACUCUCAACUCUCCGUUUGCUUGUUUUUUUUAAAAAAAUAUUUGUUUGUUUGUUUGUUUGUUUAAUGUAUGUGAGUACACUGUAGCUGUACAGAUGGUUGUGAGCCACCAUGUGGUUACUGGGAGUUGAACUCAGGACCUUUGCUAGCUCCUGUCCACUCACUCCAGCGAGGCUCACUCUGGCCCUGUUUGUUUGGUUUUUGAGGCAAGGUCUUAAUGUAGGCCAGGUUGGCUUGUAACUCACACGAUGUAGCCAAGGAUGAUCUUGCACGUCUGAUCUUUCCAUUUCCACCUCUAGAGUACUAGGACUAUAGGUGUGUGUCACCAUGCCCAAUAUAUGUGGUGCUGGUCAUUAAACUCUGGACCUUGGGCAUGCUAGGCCUCCACUCUACAAAUUGAGCUACACGCCAAGCCUGUUUUUUAUUCAUUCUUUUAUUUUUAAAGAUGCAUUUAUUUCUGUUUUAUGUGUGUGAAUGUUUUACACGUAAGUAUGUAUGUAUAUAUAUGUAUACCACAUGAGUGCCUGGUCCUCUCUGGGGUCUGAAGAGGGCAUCAGAUCCACUGGAAUUAGAGUAAGAGACAGUUGUGAGCUAUCAUGUGGCUGCUGGAAACCAAACCAAACCUUUUCUCUAGCAAAGCAGCCAGGACUUUAAAUUUCAGAACCAUCUCUCCAGCCCUUUCAUCCCAGUUUUUAACAUUUUAUAUCAGGGAAGAAGAAGCCCAGCUGUGACAGAGAAAAAGAAUCCACGGGGGCAUAUGGUUCACUGUAGAGAGGGAUAAUAUAAUCUGACUAAGAUAGACAGAGAGGCAAGGCCAGGAAUGGAGGCACAUACUUCUAACCCCAGAAUUCAGGAGGCAGAGACAGAGGCAGGUAGAUCUCUAUGCGCUCAGAACCAACUUGGCUACAUAGCAAG